RNAcentral lists this ribosomal RNA (374 nucleotides) under uncultured organism. Its description in RNAcentral is "partial 16S ribosomal RNA". It matches the Rfam family "Bacterial small subunit ribosomal RNA", at positions 527 to 896 of the family's 1533-position model. The record is from RNAcentral.
GGAGGGCGCAAGCGUUGUUCGGAAUUACUGGGCGUAAAGGGCGGGCAGGCGGUCUGUUAAGUCUUUUGUGAAAAUCCGGGGCUCAACCCCGUGAAACGCAGAAGAUACUGGCAGACUUGAGACCAGUAGAGGCUAGCGGAAUUCCUGGUGUAGCGGUGGAAUGCGUAGAUAUCAGGAAGAACACCUGUGGCGAAGGCGGCUAGCUGGGCUGGAUCUGACGCUCAUCCGCGAAAGCGUGGGGGAGCAAACAGGAUUAGAUACCCUGGUAGUCCACGCCGUAAACGAUGGGUACUAGAUGCCGGGUCUAUAGACAGGGUCGGUGUCGCAGCUAACGCAUUAAGUACCCCCGCCCUGGGAGUACGGCCGCAAGGCUG